This 278-nucleotide unclassified non-coding RNA is filed under the name plant metagenome. RNAcentral's name for it is "partial contains small subunit ribosomal RNA, internal transcribed spacer 1, and 5.8S ribosomal RNA". The record is from RNAcentral.
CGUAGGUGAACCUGCGGAAGGAUCAUUGUCGAAACCUGCCCAGCAGAACGACCCGCGAACUUGUAUAAACAACUGGGGGCGGGGGGCGUUCUCGCCCCGUGCCCCCGAACGGCGGGGAGACACUCGUGCCUUCUUGCCGAACAACGAACCCCGGCGCGGUCCGCGCCAAGGAACUUCAACUAAAGAGUGCCUCCGGUCGCCUCGGAAACGGCGUGCGUGCCGGAGGCGAAUCUUGUGCAAAACCAUAACGACUCUCGGCAACGGAUAUCUCGGCUCUC